UGCUCACUUCAGCAGCAAUAUGCUAAAAUUGGAACCAUACAGAGAAGAUUAGCAUGGUCCCUGUGCAAGGAUGAUACACAAAUUCAUGAAGCAUUCCAUAUUUUU
This 105-nucleotide small nuclear RNA is filed under the name Choloepus hoffmanni (Hoffmann's two-fingered sloth). Lineage: Eukaryota; Metazoa; Chordata; Mammalia; Pilosa; Megalonychidae. The record is from RNAcentral.